AGAGUUUGAUCAUGGCUCAGAUUGAACGCUGGCGGCAGGCCUAACACAUGCAAGUCGAGCGGUAGCACAGAGAGCUUGCUCUCGGGUGACGAGCGGCGGACGGGUGAGUAAUGUCUGGGAAACUGCCUGAUGGAGGGGGAUAACUACUGGAAACGGUAGCUAAUACCGCAUAAUGUCGCAAGACCAAAGUGGGGGACCUUCGGGCCUCAUGCCAUCAGAUGUGCCCAGAUGGGAUUAGCUAGUAGGUGGGGUAACGGCUCACCUAGGCGACGAUCCCUAGCUGGUCUGAGAGGAUGACCAGCCACACUGGAACUGAGACACGGUCCAGACUCCUACGGGAGGCAGCAGUGGGGAAUAUUGCACAAUGGGCGCAAGCCUGAUGCAGCCAUGCCGCGUGUGUGAAGAAGGCCUUCGGGUUGUAAAGCACUUUCAGCGGGGAGGAAGGCGUUAAGGUUAAUAACCUUGGCGAUUGACGUUACCCGCAGAAGAAGCACCGGCUAACUCCGUGCCAGCAGCCGCGGUAAUACGGAGGGUGCAAGCGUUAAUCGGAAUUACUGGGCGUAAAGCGCACGCAGGCGGUCUGUCAAGUCGGAUGUGAAAUCCCCGGGCUCAACCUGGGAACUGCAUUCGAAACUGGCAGGCUAGAGUCUUGUAGAGGGGGGUAGAAUUCCAGGUGUAGCGGUGAAAUGCGUAGAGAUCUGGAGGAAUACCGGUGGCGAAGGCGGCCCCCUGGACAAAGACUGACGCUCAGGUGCGAAAGCGUGGGGAGCAAACAGGAUUAGAUACCCUGGUAGUCCACGCCGUAAACGAUGUCGAUUUGGAGGUUGUGCCCUUGAGGCGUGGCUUCCGGAGCUAACGCGUUAAAUCGACCGCCUGGGGAGUACGGCCGCAAGGUUAAAACUCAAAUGAAUUGACGGGGGCCCGCACAAGCGGUGGAGCAUGUGGUUUAAUUCGAUGCAACGCGAAGAACCUUACCUGGUCUUGACAUCCACAGAACUUUCCAGAGAUGGAUNGGUGCCUUCGGGAACUGUGAGACAGGUGCUGCAUGGCUGUCGUCAGCUCGUGUUGUGAAAUGUUGGGUUAAGUCCCGCAACGAGCGCAACCCUUAUCCUUUGUUGCCAGCGGUCCGGCCGGGAACUCAAAGGAGACUGCCAGUGAUAAACUGGAGGAAGGUGGGGAUGACGUCAAGUCAUCAUGGCCCUUACGACCAGGGCUACACACGUGCUACAAUGGCAUAUACAAAGAGAAGCGACCUCGCGAGAGCAAGCGGACCUCAUAAAGUAUGUCGUAGUCCGGAUUGGAGUCUGCAACUCGACUCCAUGAAGUCGGAAUCGCUAGUAAUCGUAGAUCAGAAUGCUACGGUGAAUACGUUCCCGGGCCUUGUACACACCGCCCGUCACACCAUGGGAGUGGGUUGCAAAAGAAGUAGGUAGCUUAACCUUCGGGAGGGCGCUUACCACUUUGUGAUUCAUGACUGGGGUGAAGUCGUAACAAGGUAACCGUAGGGGAACCUGCGGUUG
Molecule: ribosomal RNA, 1520 nt
Filed under: Klebsiella pneumoniae
Lineage: Bacteria; Pseudomonadati; Pseudomonadota; Gammaproteobacteria; Enterobacterales; Enterobacteriaceae
Description: bacterial SSU rRNA
Rfam family: Bacterial small subunit ribosomal RNA
Source: RNAcentral